Molecule: small RNA, 70 nt
Filed under: Serratia symbiotica
Lineage: Bacteria; Pseudomonadati; Pseudomonadota; Gammaproteobacteria; Enterobacterales; Yersiniaceae
Description: tpke11 small RNA
Rfam family: tpke11
About the family: In Yersinia located in ICR upstream dnaJ (chaperone)gene. Has temperature responsive RNA structure.
Source: RNAcentral
ACUGGGAACCAGCACAGACGUUGAGGAAACUCUACGCCUGUGCAUGUAUGUUCAGGGUAAGCAAAGAAUG